UGCCUCUUUCGAGGAAUACUUAUGCCUGC
RNAcentral lists this non-coding RNA (29 nucleotides) under Rattus norvegicus (Norway rat). The record is from RNAcentral. Lineage: Eukaryota; Metazoa; Chordata; Mammalia; Rodentia; Muridae.